AUGAGGUGCCCAGGCAGAGCGCGGGGUCUGGACACUCAGCACUGGCCAUGGCCUGGCCAUGGUGGGCGUGCCUGCCGCAGGGACAGCCAGUCCACCAAGCCCAGCACCUCCACACCCGCUCGUCAACUGCUCGUUCAGCUGCUAAUUGUUGCGCAACAGCAUAGCCACUGCGCAUGCGGGUUGACGUCAGGCUCUUCACACGCAGUACCUCCAAUUCCCCAUGCGCGUACCGGUCGGCUGCAGGAAGCUCCAAGGCCAGCGCGGAAUGCAGGUGUGAGAGCAGCCUGGGCUGGGAGACUCUGCAGAGACGUAUGUAUCAUAAAGGAUCAGUGCCUGAGAGUUUUGAAGCAACCAUCCAUCUCCCAUGAAGGAGUGACCAUAAAGGUAACUUGAGUUACAUACAAUAUGUUAAAUUUUUAUUGUCUCCUGCUUCUGAUGACUACAGUUUUAUUAUUAAGUCAAAUGUGUCUUCUUCACUCUCUUUUCUUGGUAGAAACGCAUUCCCAAGUGGCUUUUAAGUUCCUCAUGCAAACAACCUUUGAGUCAAUCUGAGCCAAUUUGUUUGUUCUUUCAAGGUAUGUACAAAUAUUAGUAUUGGAUUUAGCUGGGUUGCAAGGUGGACGAUACCCAUCAAUCAACAUGUGUCUAGAAAAAUUAUUCAGCUGCUUUGUGUCUCUUCUAUCUCACUUGUAAAGUGAAGUGUAGAGUAGUAUCUAUUUUAAAAUUUUAACUCACUUCCUAUCACAAAAUGUCUUCAGUAGAUUAAAAUUAAUGUAUGUACUAAGUUAAUGACAUGAUAGAAGUAGAAAAAUUGAGAACAGGCUUUUUA
This 829-nucleotide long non-coding RNA is filed under the name Ovis aries (sheep). RNAcentral's name for it is "lncRNA (ENSOARG00000026576.1)". The record is from RNAcentral. Lineage: Eukaryota; Metazoa; Chordata; Mammalia; Artiodactyla; Bovidae.